GUGCUGGCUUCGGCAGCACAUGUGCUAACAUGGGCACGACACAGAGAAGAGUAGCCUGGCCCCUGUGCAAGGAUGACCCACAAAUUCGUGAAGCAUGCCAUAUGUUU
Molecule: small nuclear RNA, 107 nt
Organism: Echinops telfairi (small Madagascar hedgehog)
Lineage: Eukaryota; Metazoa; Chordata; Mammalia; Afrosoricida; Tenrecidae
Source: Ensembl